GACGAACGUCGAACAUUGUAACGCGAUAUCCCCUCGUCGAGAGAGGAAUGUCCUCUGGAACAUCGUGAAGGAUUAAUAGCAUUCUCUGCGGGGCAUACCUUGGCUCGGCCGGUCGAGCUGCAUCCACUCGAGGCAGAAUACACUCACUGAACGAAUUCUGGCACCGUACGAAUCCUCCCGAACGAUCUUGAUCACUGGCGCUCCGCUCUGGUUUCGAUCACUCGCACAGUAGACGAUCCCGCGGUCGAUUCGUGUCCUCUCGAGCCGCCGACACUUCACUGUCCCGCUCUGUACGCCGGAAUUUACUUUCCGCGGUCCCGUUCAUCGCGUUUCGUCGGCUCGCGAAUAUUUCCGACUCUCGCGGGGCCGACCGUUUUCGCGUAUUUUUAGGAAAAUUAUGCAACGCCGGAAAACACCGCGCCACUAUCCCGUUUUCUGCUUCCUCGGGACGCCAUCCGUCUCCGCUCUCCCUGGAGAUGCUUGCGAAACGAUCGGGAGAGCAUUGGCUGUCUACCUUGAUCUACCGUUUCCUCGCUCCUACUCGACGCUGGUAUCGCUCCGUCGGAGAUGAGACGCGACGACUUCGCUCGAAAACACGAGUCACGGACGAUCCGCCAAGUUCCCAGUUCCGUUGGACGGUUCCGCGGCACUCUGCGUACGUUCCUUCGUUCGGUCGACGAUAUUUUCGUCGCACGCGACGACGACGACGACGUGUCCGCGAGACGAGAUGAGAACGAACGAGAUGGAAACGGUACGGGAGAGGGAACGAGUUAAAGGGAAUAUCCAUCGGUCGGCCUAUAUCCGGAGCGACUCCUCUCGCACGGUUAGUUCGUCUACCGCCGAGUACAGGGUGUUCAGUGUCGAUACUUCUACGAAGAUUAUCUCUUAGUGAUGUUCGAAACGCGGGAGGGAUCCGCGUCUUCGACCAUGUAUCCCGUUCUCACCAGUAGUACUCAUCACUCGUCGUUAAACUGUGAUACGAAAUCUCGAAUAGUGAAACAACCUUUUUCAAAACUAUUUCCAAGAGCCGUCUUUCCUAUCCAACACGAGUGUGAUACGAAAUUCUGAACAAAAGUGAAACAUUCUUCUUCAAAAAUGCUGAUUGAAAAUUAACAGGCAGGACUUGUGCUGCAGUAUUUUGGACAAAAGUCCGGAUAGAAGGGGCCCGAAGAAACGUCACAAUCGUGAUAUUACCCAUCGGGUCGUCGUUGCGCGUGACUUCUACAGGGAAACCUCCAACAGUGAAAACUUUGAUCGUUGGCCCGUGGCGCUCAUAACUCAAAUUAUACGUACUUCGAAUUCUCCUUGUACGUGGAACCUCAACUCCUUGUACCUCCAGCCUUGUAUUAUUAAAGUGGUGAACAAUGAAAGGUACAAUCGAUGAGUGAGAAACAAUCAAAUGGUGGGGAUAACAACGCGCAGCUAACGAGGCAGAAGCCGGUGGCAGUUAGCGAGGCAUUACGGUAUCUGUACAUAGAGAUCACGGAAACUCGCCCGACAGCGACGUCGAGCCACUCCCGUGCCGCAUUAACAAGUUCUCGCACGCUUAUUCCGCUUCCGUUUGGUUACCAAAGCGACAGAGCUCAGAUAUGCAAAUGGAGAAAAAAGAAUAGAACUAGGGGAGGGGGGCGAAAGAAAAAUUUUUAAACGAACGAAAGAAAAACGGAAGAAAAAGGCUCGAGAGGAAGUGGAUCACUCGUCUAGGUAGAAAACGGUGCCCGUUAACGAGUCCAUAAAUAAUUGAUUCGGAAACUUGCAAACAAAACCAACGUGCUGGCUUGUCGGCUAAUGCGGCACUGUCAGCCUCGUCUUUCUCUCCUCUCGAGUACCUUUUUCCCUUUCUUUUCCGCACGGGUCCUGCGCCGCUCUUCAAAGCGGUUUAUAAAAUCCAUUAUCCCUCCUCCGAUAAAUAUUAAACCACUCUUAUCGCUUUCGUUCCCGCGCGUGAAAUUGUUCCGUUCGACACUCGUCCCGCCGUUAAUGGCCUCGUUAUCGAUUCCGCGACCGUCAAAGGAAACACCGCGGAAAGAAGGGGUUGCCUUGCUUGGCCCUUCGAAUCCGUUCCUCUUCCACCAAAUUUGUCCCGCGAGCUUUUUAAUUAAUUUUUAACGCCGCCCAAUUAGGCCGGCUUUGAUUCCCCUGACGUCCCAUUUCCAUCGCACCAGCUGAAACGAGAGUACCGAUGGAAUCGAGAAAUGUUUAGAUACCACGGCGGAACCUCAACUGCUGCAUCACUGUGUAGCGCCGACAGAGAUGCGAUAUUUGAAGCUUUCACGCUCUGGGUUCUGACAGUUGAUAUUCCUUGAGGCUUCCAGGUGUAAGUCGUGCCCUUUGCGAAAAGAAUUCCUACGUUUCGCAAGCAUUCCUAGCUUUUUCGUUCUUCGUUUCAAGGAAAUGGCACUCUGAUAUUGGUUCAUCUAGUUCGGAUCCAUUUAGUGUACCUUUGGUCGUAUCAUGGAUCAUUAGUUACCAAUUACUGGACUAUGGGGUAAGUAACAUUGGAUUUCAAUUGGAUUCGAAUUUCUGAGUGGAGUAAUAUUGCUUUUUUAAUUUUAUAUUUUAUGUAAGACAGGAAAUUAUCUUCAAGUAAAUUAUAUACAUUUUAUUUAUUUUUUUCUUUAGUAUCACGUUAAGUUGAGUGCUAAUCAGUUGGUCAAUUAUGUGAACAUUAUUGUCUUAUCUGAACACUUUUAAUUUGAAUUUGUUCAGAUGAGGAAAUAAUUAGAUUGGUCCCAUCGCUAGCGACGAUAAAGUAACGAUAAUUUCUGUGUUCCAGAUGAAUUCUUGUUAGCCCGAAACAUGAAGGCAGCUCGAGUUUGUUUUCCUUCGCGAAAGCACGAGAAUUUAUGGUUAAUAUUUCCUCGCUGUUCACCCCGUUCACGAGCGAUUCCGUGUUCCGUUUGUCGGCUGAGAUCGUUCCUCGAGCCAUUCCUGAGGUUGAGCGAUGAAAGAAUCUCGUGUCUCGUUCCACAUCUGAUCCUCGAACGGAAAUACGUGACCAACGUUCCUGUUUCAUAAACGCUUAUCAGGUGGAAAUUGACACCUGCUAUAUAAGAGGAGUUUUCCAAAAACUGUCUGGGGAAUGAAGAAAGUAUUAUCUCUAAAAAGUAUCGCUAUGUUUCGUUUUUGAUAAAUAAAAUUAUAGAGAGAAUACACAGUACAUGUACGAAUGUAAAAUAAAUAUUAUAGGUUAUUCUAAUUAACUAAUGUUGUAUGAAGAAAAUUGAAAAUUUGUCUGAAGUACAUGUUACAAACCAUCAUAUUCAUUUUAAAUUUGUCACUGCAUCUUAUUAUUUCAAAGUAGUAUUUAUUGCAACACUUUUUACAUUUUUUUUUUAAAUUUUUUAUCUAAUUUUAAUAUCCUGGUAUCUGAAUCGAACAGAAGUUAAUAAUUGAAGUUAAGUUGCAAUAAUCUUUACAUGAAAAUAAUUACUACUUAAUUAUUAUGUAGAAUACUUAUGUUCUAUCGAUAUUAACUAUCAAGUAUUUUCCUCGGAAUUAUCUUUAUUGCAAAAACAUAAUAUUCAAAAAUAUAAUAAUACCACUUAUUCAAAAAUAAUUUCUAUUUAAUCAUUUCAAGAAUUACUAUACGAGUUCGUUUCAGAUCUCCAAAAACGAUAUGUUCUUUGUACAGAAACAUGCAUAAAAAAAAAGUAUUCUUCUAUAAAAUAAAAUCAUAUUUUUCACAUAGAAAAUAAAAUAAUUUUUCUAUUAGAUUUUUA
Long non-coding RNA from Hylaeus volcanicus, 3722 nucleotides. RefSeq lists it as uncharacterized. The transcript has 4 exons. The record is from RefSeq and is a predicted model, not a curated record. NCBI's taxonomy places the organism in Eukaryota, Metazoa, Arthropoda, Insecta, Hymenoptera, Colletidae.